This 119-nucleotide ribosomal RNA is filed under the name Pteropus vampyrus (large flying fox). Lineage: Eukaryota; Metazoa; Chordata; Mammalia; Chiroptera; Pteropodidae. The record is from RNAcentral.
AUCUCUGGCCAUGCCACCCUGAACGAGUCCGAGCCCGUCUGAUCUCGAAAGCUAUGCAGGGUCGGGCCUGGUUGGUACUUGGAUGGGAGACCACCUAGGAAGACCAGGUGCUGUAAGCG